RNAcentral lists this transfer RNA (85 nucleotides) under Burkholderiales bacterium. Its description in RNAcentral is "tRNA-Leu". It matches the Rfam family "tRNA". From Rfam's summary of the family: Transfer RNA (tRNA) molecules are approximately 80 nucleotides in length. Their secondary structure includes four short double-helical elements and three loops (D, anti-codon, and T loops). Further hydrogen bonds mediate the characteristic L-shaped molecular structure. tRNAs have two regions of fundamental functional importance: the anti-codon, which is responsible for specific mRNA codon recognition, and the 3' end, to which the tRNAs corresponding amino acid is attached (by aminoacyl-tRNA synthetases). tRNAs cope with the degeneracy of the genetic code in two manners: having more than one tRNA (with a specific anti-codon) for a particular amino acid; and 'wobble' base-pairing, i.e. permitting non-standard base-pairing at the 3rd anti-codon position. RNAcentral also lists the same sequence under 1 other name. Lineage: Bacteria; Pseudomonadati; Pseudomonadota; Betaproteobacteria; Burkholderiales. The record is from RNAcentral.
GCGGUCGUGGUGGAAUUGGUAGACACGCUGUCUUGAGGGGGCAGUGCCGAAAGGUGUGAGAGUUCGAGUCUCUCCGACCGCACCA